CCAAGUGGGGGCAUGUGCACACUCUGUUCACACAUCCACUCACACCUGUGCACCUUCUGUAGUUCUAUAGCUUGGGGGCUCUGUCUUCCUUCUGUGGUUCUACGUCUUUACAUACACACCGUUAUAAAGUCUUGUGGAAUGUGCGCCGCGUUUAACGCAAUACAAUACAACUUUCAGCAACGGAUCUCUUGGCUCUCGCAUCGAUGAAGAACGCAGCGAAAUGCGAUAAGUAAUGUGAAUUGCAGAAUUCAGUGAAUCAUCGAAUCUUUGAACGCACCUUGCGCCCCUUGGUUAUUCCGAAGGGCAUGCCUGUUUGAGUAUCAUGAACACAUCAACUCUUGUGGUUUCCCACAAUGAGCUUGGACUUUGGAGGUUUGUUGGCCCUGUGGUCGGCUCCUCUCAAAUGGAUUAGCUCACCAGUGUUUGGUGGCGUCAUGGGUGUGAUAACUAUCUACGCUCAUGGUCGUCUCCGAGUAACCUCUAUAGUGUUGGAGGUUCGCUGGAGCUUAUAAAUGUCUCUCUGCAGUGGGGACAGCUUUUGAACGUUUGAUCUCAAAUCAGGUAGGACUACCCGCUGAACUUAAGCAUAUCAAU
Molecule: ribosomal RNA, 594 nt
Filed under: uncultured Thelephoraceae
Lineage: Eukaryota; Fungi; Basidiomycota; Agaricomycetes; Thelephorales; Thelephoraceae
Description: eukaryotic LSU rRNA
Rfam family: 5.8S ribosomal RNA (bases 169-323)
Source: RNAcentral